AUUGAACGCUGGCGGCAGGCCUAACACAUGCAAGUCGAGCGGAGGAAGGGAGCUUGCUCCUGGAUUCAGCGGCGGACGGGUGAGUAAUGCCUAGGAAUCUGCCUGGUAGUGGGGGAUAACGUCCGGAAACGGGCGCUAAUACCGCAUACGUCCUGAGGGAGAAAGUGGGGGAUCUUCGGACCUCACGCUAUCAGAUGAGCCUAGGUCGGAUUAGCUAGUUGGUGGGGUAAAGGCCUACCAAGGCGACGAUCCGUAACUGGUCUGAGAGGAUGAUCAGUCAUACUGGAACUGAGACACGGUCCAGACUCCUACGGGAGGCAGCAGUGGGGAAUAUUGGACCAUGGGCGAAAGCCUGAUCCAGCCAUGCCGCGUGUGUGAAGAAGGUCUUCGGAUUGUAAAGCACUUUAAGUUGGGAGGAAGGGCAGUAAGUUAAUACCUUGCUGUUUUGACGUUACCAACAGAAUAAGCACCGGCUAACUUCGUG
This 484-nucleotide ribosomal RNA is filed under the name uncultured bacterium. RNAcentral's name for it is "partial 16S ribosomal RNA". It matches the Rfam family "Bacterial small subunit ribosomal RNA", at positions 30 to 507 of the family's 1533-position model. The record is from RNAcentral.